GACAGAGGGGGCAAGCGUUGUCCGGAGUUACUGGGCGUAAAGGGCGCGGAGGCGGUCUGCGGCGUCGGCGCUGAAAGCGCCCCGCUUAACGGGGCGAGGCGUGCCGAUACGCGCAGACUUGAGGCGAGCAGAGGGUGGUGGAAUUCCGGGUGGGGCGGUGAAGUGCGUAGAGAUCCGGAGGAACGCCAGUGGGGAAGCCGGCCACCUGGGCUCGUCCUGACGCUGCAGCGCGACCGCGUGGGGAGCAAACCGG
This 253-nucleotide ribosomal RNA is filed under the name uncultured bacterium. RNAcentral's name for it is "partial 16S ribosomal RNA". It matches the Rfam family "Bacterial small subunit ribosomal RNA", at positions 524 to 776 of the family's 1533-position model. The record is from RNAcentral.